Molecule: long non-coding RNA, 438 nt
Organism: Drosophila yakuba
Lineage: Eukaryota; Metazoa; Arthropoda; Insecta; Diptera; Drosophilidae
Exons: 2
Source: RefSeq, a predicted model, not a curated record
AUGAAAAAUCGUAUUUCGCACUAAUUAUUUUUUGUGUAUCUUUUAACUCCAGGGCCGCCAACUUACUUCGCACGCGUCAAAUGAUUGUUUCAUAUCUGUAGAGUGGGGCAAAGAACGUGGCAGAUGUGUCAGAUAUCUUGGCUCUGAGCCUCAUCUGCUCCUGGUCCUGUGACAUUUGAUUAGUUUUCGAUUAUCUGAAUGGUACUUGUCAAAAAUCGGAUAAUGACAAUACCACAGAAGACAUCCUUUUUUUUUGAUUCAAAUUACUAAAUUGAGUGCAAGACAAGAUGACGGCAUGUCGUGCCAGCUCGAGGGAUCUGCGAUGCACACUUUAGAUGCUGCAUGCAUAAACAGAAGAAGGCGCUUGGUCCGCAUCAAAUUGCCACAAGAUCCCGAGAUGUGAGGAGCUUCUCUAAUAAACGUUCGUUCUUUGGCUAA